UAGGGAAUCUUCGGCAAUGGACGAAAGUCUGACCGAGCAACGCCGCGUGAGUGAAGAAGGUUUUCGGAUCGUAAAACUCUGUUGUUAGAGAAGAACAAGGACGUUAGUAACUGAACGUCACCUGACGGUAUCUAACCAGAAAGCCACGGCUAACUACGUGCCAGCAGCCGCGGUAAUACGUAGGUGGCAAGCGUUGUCCGGAUUUAUUGGGCGUAAAGCGAGCGCAGGCGGUUUCUUAAGUCUGAUGUGAAAGCCCCCGGCUCAACCAGGGAGGGUCAAUGGAAACUGGGAGACUUGAGUACAGGAGAGGGGAGUGGAAUUCCAUGUGGAGCAGUGAAAUGCGUAGAUAUAGGGAAGAACACCAGUGGCGAAGGCGGCUCUCUGGUCUGUAACUGACGCUGAGGCUCGAAAGCGUGGGGAGCAAACAA
This 428-nucleotide ribosomal RNA is filed under the name Gemmatimonadota bacterium. RNAcentral describes it as "Gemmatimonadetes bacterium partial 16S ribosomal RNA". It matches the Rfam family "Bacterial small subunit ribosomal RNA", at positions 355 to 775 of the family's 1533-position model. The record is from RNAcentral. Lineage: Bacteria; Pseudomonadati; Gemmatimonadota.